Molecule: long non-coding RNA, 1651 nt
Filed under: Mus musculus (house mouse)
Lineage: Eukaryota; Metazoa; Chordata; Mammalia; Rodentia; Muridae
Description: RNA imprinted and accumulated in nucleus
Source: RNAcentral
GGAUCAAUGAUGAAUGUCUGUGAGCAUUCUUAGAGUCAUGAAUCAUGACGACAAAUUUAAUUCUGAGAUCAACAUCAUAAAGUAUCCAGUGACAGCUAUAAGAAGUAGUCUUCUUUUAUAAGUCAGUAAAUGUAAAUAAAAAUUGACUAGGAAGUCAUUUAAUCAAAAGGCAGCUCACAAAGAAGACUACAUAUAUGUAUAUAUGUAUAUAUGUAAGAAGAAAGUGUGACAGAGUAAUGACCAUGGAGGUGAGGGAUAAGAUGAAAUGAGCAGAAGCAGGCAGAAUACAUAGAUAAGCGAACGGAACAUCAAUCUCUUUAUAACCUCUUCUGUCUAUACUUCAAGAAUGGAUAUCCUGCAAGUCGGCUUCGUAGAGUCUCCCUUGAAAGUGGACCUCAUGAUCUAGCCUUUAUGUCCGUGGAUUGACACUGUGAUGGAUUCCCCCCAAGUUCAUUUAGAUAUUCUCUCUUAUUCAUAAAUGUCACGGUCAGCUCUGUUCUUAUAGAUACCAGAAUGGAUACCCCUAAGCUGAUGUAUAUACACCCUUCCUCGGUUGUGAGAUUCCUGCUCUGGUGGUUGUAGUCAUAAGAUAUACAUCGUUGCGUACACCUUGGUUGUGGGCACGCACACUACUGUUGAAUUACCACCUUGUCCAAGUGGAUGGAUGCCCUCAAUGGGAUUGGCACUUUCUCCAUUGCUCCUGCACUCUGUUAUCAGCACUUCGGGUUCAUAAUGUACACACAGCAAUGGAUUUUCUGCAGCUGAUUUUCUAUAUUCUGUUUUCUUCGGGUAAGCAGAAUGCCUUCCUCACUGGUCACCAGGUUCAAGGUCCCUCAUAUGUGUCAGGUGCAUAGUCACCAACAAAGGCCAACUUCACAUCAAUGGGUGGAUCGUACCUCGGCCUAAGCUCCAGGAUUGAUUGUGCUGUUAGAGUCACAGCUACAACCGGCUCAGGGAACCCAGUGGAAGAGGAGGUGGAGUGUGAGAGCCAAUUGGAAUGGAAGACAGUGAGGAAACAAGGCCUUCGAGACACAAGAGGACUGCUGAGCUCACAAAGACUGAGGCAGCACCCUCAGGACCUGCACAGGUCUAAGCUUGAUGCGAUCUGAGUACUGAGAGGGCAACUGGACACAAUUCUAUAUUGAUAACCCAGAAGCUUUCUCCAGUUGAUAAACUCUUUCAAAGGAAAAACUUGUUUUCUACCAUGGAGUGACACUGGAUAUAGAAACUACCGUUAACAGCAGACUCCAUGGCUCAGACUUCCAAUACAAUAUGAACUCAGUUGCAAUUUUUUGCAAGGUUUUUCGACUCAUAGUUCUUUGUCUGGGUACUUUUUCACCCUACAGAGAAUUUCUGUAUAUAUUAUCGUUUCUGAUUCUAGUGUUUUGAAUUUUCGCUGGGUCUAAAUAUCUCUGUCUCAGUGUCAGUAUGUGUUUCUCAUGAUUUUUCUUUGCUUCUCUUUUUCCUAUUCUUUGCUUGUAUUCCCUGGUUUGUGUUUGAGUGUCUGGGAACUCUGAGGGUCUGGUUGGUGAUAUUGUUGUUCUUCCUAUGGGGUUGAAAACCCCUUCAGCUCCUUCAGCCUUUCACUAAGUCCUCCAUUAUUAUGAUUCCUAUGCUCAGUCCAGUGGUUGGAUGUGAGCCCCCCCCCCCC